This 460-nucleotide ribosomal RNA is filed under the name uncultured bacterium. RNAcentral's name for it is "partial 16S ribosomal RNA". It matches the Rfam family "Bacterial small subunit ribosomal RNA", at positions 338 to 795 of the family's 1533-position model. The record is from RNAcentral.
CCUACGGGUGGCAGCAGUGAGGAAUAUUGGUCAAUGGACGCAAGUCUGAACCAGCCAUGCCGCGUGCAGGAUGACGGCCCUAUGAGUUGUAAACUGCUUUUGUACGAGGGUAAACGCAGAUACGCGUAUCUGUCUGAAAGUAUCGUACGAAUAAGGGUAGGCUAACUUCGUGCCAGCAUCAGCGGCAAUACGGAGGAUUCAAGCGUUAUCCGGAUUUAUUUGGUUUAAAGGGUGCGUAGGCGGUCGGAUAAGUUAGAGGUGAAAUCCCGGGGCUCAACUUCGGAAUUGCCUCUGAUACUGUUCGGCUAGAGUGUAGUUGCGGAUGGCGGAAUGUAUGGUGUAGCUGUGAAAUGCUUAGAGAUCAUACAGAACACCGAUUGCGAAGGCAGCUUUCCAGGCUACUUCUGACGUUGAGGCACGAAAGCGUGGGGAGCAAACAGGAUUAGAUACCCGAGUAGUC